RNAcentral lists this ribosomal RNA (1527 nucleotides) under Lactiplantibacillus plantarum. Its description in RNAcentral is "bacterial SSU rRNA". It matches the Rfam family "Bacterial small subunit ribosomal RNA". Lineage: Bacteria; Bacillati; Bacillota; Bacilli; Lactobacillales; Lactobacillaceae. The record is from RNAcentral.
GAGUUUGAUCAUGGCUCAGGACGAACGCUGGCGGCGUGCCUAAUACAUGCAAGUCGAACGAACUCUGGUAUUGAUUGGUGCUUGCAUCAUGAUUUACAUUUGAGUGAGUGGCGAACUGGUGAGUAACACGUGGGAAACCUGCCCAGAAGCGGGGGAUAACACCUGGAAACAGAUGCUAAUACCGCAUAACAACUUGGACCGCAUGGUCCGAGUUUGAAAGAUGGCUUCGGCUAUCACUUUUGGAUGGUCCCGCGGCGUAUUAGCUAGAUGGUGGGGUAACGGCUCACCAUGGCAAUGAUACGUAGCCGACCUGAGAGGGUAAUCGGCCACAUUGGGACUGAGACACGGCCCAAACUCCUACGGGAGGCAGCAGUAGGGAAUCUUCCACAAUGGACGAAAGCCUGAUGGAGCAACGCCGCGUGAGUGAAGAAGGGUUUCGGCUCGUAAAACUCUGUUGUUAAAGAAGAACAUAUCUGAGAGUAACUGUUCAGGUAUUGACGGUAUUUAACCAGAAAGCCACGGCUAACUACGUGCCAGCAGCCGCAGUAAUACGUAGGUGGCAAGCGUUGUCCGGAUUUAUUGGGCGUAAAGCGAGCGCAGGCGGUUUUUUAAGUCUGAUGUGAAAGCCUUCGGCUCAACCGAAGAAGUGCAUCGGAAACUGGGAAACUUGAGUGCAGAAGAGGACAGUGGAACUCCAUGUGUAGCGGUGAAAUGCGUAGAUAUAUGGAAGAACACCAGUGGCGAAGGCGGCUGUCUGGUCUGUAACUGACGCUGAGGCUCGAAAGUAUGGGUAGCAAACAGGAUUAGAUACCCUGGUAGUCCAUACCGUAAACGAUGAAUGCUAAGUGUUGGAGGGUUUCCGCCCUUCAGUGCUGCAGCUAACGCAUUAAGCAUUCCGCCUGGGGAGUACGGCCGCAAGGCUGAAACUCAAAGGAAUUGACGGGGGCCCGCACAAGCGGUGGAGCAUGUGGUUUAAUUCGAAGCUACGCGAAGAACCUUACCAGGUCUUGACAUACUAUGCAAAUCUAAGAGAUUAGACGUUCCCUUCGGGGACAUGGAUACAGGUGGUGCAUGGUUGUCGUCAGCUCGUGUCGUGAGAUGUUGGGUUAAGUCCCGCAACGAGCGCAACCCUUAUUAUCAGUUGCCAGCAUUAAGUUGGGCACUCUGGUGAGACUGCCGGUGACAAACCGGAGGAAGGUGGGGAUGACGUCAAAUCAUCAUGCCCCUUAUGACCUGGGCUACACACGUGCUACAAUGGAUGGUACAACGAGUUGCGAACUCGCGAGAGUAAGCUAAUCUCUUAAAGCCAUUCUCAGUUCGGAUUGUAGGCUGCAACUCGCCUACAUGAAGUCGGAAUCGCUAGUAAUCGCGGAUCAGCAUGCCGCGGUGAAUACGUUCCCGGGCCUUGUACACACCGCCCGUCACACCAUGAGAGUUUGUAACACCCAAAGUCGGUGGGGUAACCUUUUAGGAACCAGCCGCCUAAGGUGGGACAGAUGAUUAGGGUGAAGUCGUAACAAGGUAACC